Molecule: ribosomal RNA, 612 nt
Filed under: Rhodanobacter sp. N-QB-2063
Lineage: Bacteria; Pseudomonadati; Pseudomonadota; Gammaproteobacteria; Lysobacterales; Rhodanobacteraceae
Description: bacterial SSU rRNA
Rfam family: Bacterial small subunit ribosomal RNA
Source: RNAcentral
AAUGCAUCGGGAUCUACCCUGACGUGGGGGAUAACCUCGGGAAACCGGGACUAAUACCGCAUACGUCCUACGGGAGAAAGCGGGGGACCUUCGGGCCUCGCGCGGCAGGACGAACCGAUGUGCGAUUAGCUUGUUGGCGGGGUAAAGGCCCACCAAGGCGACGAUCGCUAGCUGGUCUGAGAGGAUGAUCAGCCACACUGGGACUGAGACACGGCCCAGACUCCUACGGGAGGCAGCAGUGGGGAAUAUUGGACAAUGGGCGCAAGCCUGAUCCAGCAAUGCCGCGUGUGUGAAGAAGGCCUUCGGGUUGUAAAGCACUUUUAUCAGGAGCGAAAUACUACGGGUUAAUAACUCGUGGGGCUGACGGUACCUGAGGAAUAAGCACCGGCUAACUUCGUGCCAGCAGCCGCGGUAAUACGAAGGGUGCAAGCGUUAAUCGGAAUUACUGGGCGUAAAGGGUGCGUAGGCGGUUAUUUAAGUCUGCCGUGAAAUCCCCGGGCUCAACCUGGGAAUGGCGGUGGAUACUGGAUAGCUAGAGUGUGUCAGAGGAUGGUGGAAUUCCCGGUGUAGCGGUGAAAUGCGUAGAGAUCGGGAGGAACAUCAGUGGCGAAG